This 478-nucleotide long non-coding RNA is filed under the name Brassica napus (rape). RNAcentral's name for it is "long non-coding RNA (BNAP_LNC006887)". The record is from RNAcentral. Lineage: Eukaryota; Viridiplantae; Streptophyta; Magnoliopsida; Brassicales; Brassicaceae.
AUGGCUUAAGGAGUUGAGAGUGUGAGAAUGUGGAGGCAAAGGGAAGGAAGGUUAGGGAUCGACCAGGCCGUACAAGAGGCCGUACCGGCCGUACCGUCCGUACUGUCCGGGUCGAUCCAUAACUCGACCAAGAGGGAAGUUACCCGGGUGAAAGGGUUAAACGGCCAAAGGGGUUUUACCUUAGGAGAUAUGACCGUUUGGAUGGAUAGAGUGACCGCGGCUUAUCCUGACAGUCUGGCACAAGCUGUAAAGGCAAAAGGGAACCUAGUCCAAGAUGCCAAAAGCGUGUGACAGCUCCCAUUGGUUUACAUUUGAAUUAAAGCAAUCUUAUCCUUGACUACACAUGCUUAGCGCUCCUGAAUACCCUAAUGUCUCUCUCUAUAUAUUGUAAACUCUGUCUUGAUUAAUGGUUAACACGAGUUCAUCAUAAUCUCUCUCUAGUUCAUCAUGUUUCUCUUCUACAUUUCAUAAAUCAUCU